UAUAGAUGGAUCCGCGCUGCAUUAGCUAGUUGGUAAGGUAACGGCUUACCAAGGCAACGAUGCAUAGCCGACCUGAGAGGGUGAUCGGCCACACUGGAACUGAGACACGGUCCAGACUCCUACGGGAGGCAGCAGUAGGGAAUCUUCCGCAAUGGGCGAAAGCCUGACGGAGCAACGCCGCGUGAGUGAUGAAGGUCUUCGGAUCGUAAAACUCUGUUAUUAGGGAAGAACAUAUGUGUAAGUAACUGUGCACAUCUUGACGGUACCUAAUCAGAAAGCCACGGCUAACUACGUGCCAGCAGCCGCGGUAAUACGUAGGUGGCAAGCGUUAUCCGGAAUUAUUGGGCGUAAAGCGCGCGUAGGCGGUUUUUUAAGUCUGAUGUGAAAGCCCACGGCUCAACCGUGGAGGGUCAUUGGAAACUGGAAAACUUGAGUGCAGAAGAGGAAAGUGGAAUUCCAUGUGUAGCGGUGAAAUGCGCAGAGAUAUGGAGGAACACCAGUGGCGAAGGCGACUUUCUGGUCUGUAACUGACGCUGAUGUGCGAAAGCGUGGGGAUCAAACAGGAUUAGAUACCCUGGUAGUCCACGCCGUAAACGAUGAGUGCUAAGUGUUAGGGGGUUUCCGCCCCUUAGUGCUGCAGCUAACGCAUUAAGCACUCCGCCUGGGGAGUACGACCGCAAGGUUGAAACUCAAAGGAAUUGACGGGGACCCGCACAAGCGGUGGAGCAUGUGGUUUAAUUCGAAGCAACGCGAAGAACCUUACCAAAUCUUGACAUCCUUUGACAACUCUAGAGAUAGAGCCUUCCCCUUCGGGGGACAAAGUGACAGGUGGUGCAUGGUUGUCGUCAGCUCGUGUCGUGAGAUGUUGGGUUAAGUCCCGCAACGAGCGCAACCCUUAAGCUUAGUUGCCAUCAUUAAGUUGGGCACUCUAAGUUGACUGCCGGUGACAAACCGGAGGAAGGUGGGGAUGACGUCAAAUCAUCAUGCCCCUUAUGAUUUGGGCUACACACGUGCUACAAUGGACAAUACAAAGGGCAGCGAAACCGCGAGGUCAAGCAAAUCCCAUAAAGUUGUUCUCAGUUCGGAUUGUAGUCUGCAACUCGACUACAUGAAGCUGGAAUCGCUAGUAAUCGUAGAUCAGCAUGCUACGGUGAAUACGUUCCCGGGUCUUGUACACACCGCCCGUCACACCACGAGAGUUUGUAACACCCGAAGCCGGUGGAGUAACCUUUUAGGAGCUAGCCGUCGAAGGUGGGACAAAUGAUUGGGGUGAAGUCGUAACAAGGUAGCCGUAUCGGAAGGUGCGGCUGGAUCACCUCCUUUCUAAG
RNAcentral lists this ribosomal RNA (1328 nucleotides) under Staphylococcus aureus. Its description in RNAcentral is "bacterial SSU rRNA". It matches the Rfam family "Bacterial small subunit ribosomal RNA", at positions 220 to 1533 of the family's 1533-position model. Lineage: Bacteria; Bacillati; Bacillota; Bacilli; Caryophanales; Staphylococcaceae. The record is from RNAcentral.